CCUGAAACACCGAUCCCGUACGAUCACUGUAGUUAAGCAACGUUGAGCAUGGUCAAUACCUAGAUGGUUGACCGCUUGAGAAUAACAGGUGCUGUAA
Molecule: non-coding RNA, 97 nt
Organism: Acanthosepion pharaonis
Lineage: Eukaryota; Metazoa; Mollusca; Cephalopoda; Sepiida; Sepiidae
Source: the annotation of a GenBank genome assembly